Molecule: ribosomal RNA, 1610 nt
Filed under: Salmonella enterica subsp. enterica serovar Stanley
Lineage: Bacteria; Pseudomonadati; Pseudomonadota; Gammaproteobacteria; Enterobacterales; Enterobacteriaceae
Description: partial 23S ribosomal RNA
Rfam family: Bacterial large subunit ribosomal RNA
Source: RNAcentral
UGACUGCGUACCUUUUGUAUAAUGGGUCAGCGACUUAUAUUCUGUAGCAAGGUUAACCGAAUAGGGGAGCCGGAGGGAAACCGAGUCUUAAUUGGGCGUUAAGUUGCAGGGUAUAGACCCGAAACCCGGUGAUCUAGCCAUGGGCAGGUUGAAGGUUGGGUAACACUAACUGGAGGACCGAACCGACUAAUGUUGAAAAAUUAGCGGAUGACCUGUGGCUGGGGGUGAAAGGCCAAUCAAACCGGGAGAUAGCUGGUUCUCCCCGAAAGCUAUUUAGGUAGCGCCUCGUGAAUUCAUCUCCGGGGGUAGAGCACUGUUUCGGCUAGGGGGCCAUCCCGGCUUACCAACCCGAUGCAAACUGCGAAUACCGGAGAAUGUUAUCACGGGAGACACACGGCGGGUGCUAACGUCCGUCGUGAAGAGGGAAACAACCCAGACCGCCAGCUAAGGUCCCAAAGUCAUGGUUAAGUGGGAAACGAUGUGGGAAGGCCCAGACAGCCAGGAUGUUGGCUUAGAAGCAGCCAUCAUUUAAAGAAAGCGUAAUAGCUCACUGGUCGAGUCGGCCUGCGCGGAAGAUGUAACGGGGCUAAACCAUGCACCGAAGCUGCGGCAGCGACACUGUGUGUUGUUGGGUAGGGGAGCGUUCUGUAAGCCUGUGAAGGUGUGUCGUGAGGCAUGCUGGAGGUAUCAGAAGUGCGAAUGCUGACAUAAGUAACGAUAAAGCGGGUGAAAAGCCCGCUCGCCGGAAGACCAAGGGUUCCUGUCCAACGUUAAUCGGGGCAGGGUGAGUCGACCCCUAAGGCGAGGCCGAAAGGCGUAGUCGAUGGGAAACGGGUUAAUAUUCCCGUACUUGGUGUUACUGCGAAGGGGGGACGGAGAAGGCUAUGUUGGCCGGGCGACGGUUGUCCCGGUUUAAGCGUGUAGGUGUGUGUUCCAGGUAAAUCCGGUUCACUUUAACACUGAGGCGUGACGACGAGGCACUACGGUGCUGAAGCAACAAAUGCCCUGCUUCCAGGAAAAGCCUCUAAGCAUCAGGUAACAUCAAAUCGUACCCCAAACCGACACAGGUGGUCAGGUAGAGAAUACCAAGGCGCUUGAGAGAACUCGGGUGAAGGAACUAGGCAAAAUGGUGCCGUAACUUCGGGAGAAGGCACGCUGACACGUAGGUGAAGUGAUUUACUCAUGGAGCUGAAGUCAGUCGAAGAUACCAGCUGGCUGCAACUGUUUAUUAAAAACACAGCACUGUGCAAACACGAAAGUGGACGUAUACGGUGUGACGCCUGCCCGGUGCCGGAAGGUUAAUUGAUGGGGUCAGCGCAAGCGAAGCUCCUGAUCGAAGCCCCGGUAAACGGCGGCCGUAACUAUAACGGUCCUAAGGUAGCGAAAUUCCUUGUCGGGUAAGUUCCGACCUGCACGAAUGGCGUAAUGAUGGCCAGGCUGUCUCCACCCGAGACUCAGUGAAAUUGAACUCGCUGUGAAGAUGCAGUGUACCCGCGGCAAGACGGAAAGACCCCGUGAACCUUUACUAUAGCUUGACACUGAACAUUGAGCCUUGAUGUGUAGGAUAGGUGGGAGGCUUUGAAGCGUGGACGCCAGUCUGCGUGGAGCCG